CAGUGGUGGAUAAUUAUUGCAUUGAGUUAUUCCACGUGGAUUGUCUUUCGGCACAAUGGCUGAGUUAUUCCGUGAGGAGUUGUCCUGUUGCAAGUUGGCGCCCCAUUCAGUCAAGAGAAUGGAUAACUUUGGUACAUUCUAGAUCUUUUGGAUCUUUUUGCUGACUCAGGAAUUCUGGGAGUUGAAGUCCACAGGUCAUAAAGCUUCCCACCCCUGCCCUAGAGCAUUGCCAUGCAAGCUAGGUUUUACGACACCUUUUCCCAAGCUGGUGCUCAUCAUUGUUGGAAGGUGGAAAAGGGGGUAGGAACCGUCCCUCCAUCAAAGGUGUGUCUCAUGCAGCUGGGGAAAACCACCUCCGUUCACCCUUGGUGGAACUUCUUUCAUCUUAGAUAAAAUUGAUAAGAGCCAGGUUCAGUCUUCAUGACCAACCAAAAUUAAGUUAACAGAAGCCAUUGUUUAGAAAAAGUGGCACUUUUUCCAAACAACUGGCUUCUAAAGAGAGAAUAUGCACAGCAUCAUGUACUUUCUAAUGAGAUAUAUUUGAUCAAUAGAACUCAUUGUUGCAAUUUCUUGGUUAACGCCUUCUAAAUCUGGUGCUAUGUAAUCAAAAAGAGGUCAGUACAUGGAGAAUUCUACAGAUUUGUCAUAAAGCAAAUUCAACACAAGUAUAUUUGUUAAAGGUAGAAAAUGUUAUUUAAGAAAGUCAGAUGCUUUAUAUGGUGCAUUUGGCUUCUGUUCCUGCAUUACCUAUUUAUAUUUUCCAAGUAAUGCAUUUAAAGCUUGAGUGGAGUAUAAAUUUGGUUUGAAGUUAGAUAGCACUUAAUUCUUGUAACAAAUGGUGGACUUUCUAAAAACCAUGAACCUUUCCAGAAAAAUAUUAUCAUUUUCUGAUGUAGUAAAAUAAACUCACCAAAUAUAACAUUUUGUUGUAAUAUUGUGAUAUAAUGUCAUUAAUCCUGAUUUCCUACUGAGAAUUCAUUGGAAGGUUGGGUUCUAGUUUUUGAAACAAAAAUAUUAAAAAUACUUUGCAACUUUGCAGUUUUCCACAUUUCCACAUAACAAAACUACGAGUGUAUCCAAUUAACUUUCCUAAGCAUUCUGGAAAAUAAAUAGAACUAAAUCUCUUGCUAUUUGAACAUCAUCACAUUUUUAUUUAAAAUUUACUUUCUGCCUACAGUUGGAUUAAGAUCUUGGAUCAGGUUUCUUUCUUUAAUGGCAACAAUAAUGAUAAUGUCUUGCUUAUGCUGUGAAAUGUCCUGACAUUUCAGAAGUAUCAAAAGGGACAGCCAGAAGGAUCCCCUUGGGGAUGCGAUGCUGUGGUGGAAACAGCUUCCCUUUCAUUUGGGAUAAUGGCAACGCCAGAAAGAUGACUUCAUCGUCCAGACCUGGGAAAAUCAGUGAUGUGGGAAAUGUGCCAACCUACUUGGGUUGCAGAAAGCUUUGAACCUGUUUGAAUGUUGCCAAGUAAAAAGGUGAGAACUCCCCUCUUGCAUAUCUAGACAAGCACUCAGAGAGGUAGACAAGUACCUUUCUCCCUGAUUAUACAGGCAGAGAAGGCAUUUUUAUAUUUUCUUUUUUAAGGGAAUUUACCCUGAAGUGGUAUGAUCCCCAUUCUCCACCAUUUAUCAUAUGUAUCUUCUCAACAACCUGUCAGUCCUCCAAGAACGAGAUGUGUGUGUCCUGUGAUAGUUGAAGGGGAAAGCGUUGGGGUCACUAGUCCUAGCUAGAGGUUAAUUAUGAUCAACUGCAAGACAGCAGCAAUUCCCUUGCCAAAUAACAUCUCCUGCCAGGUUUGUGGGUCCAUGUGUUAUGAGGAUGGUGGAGGUGAUACAUAGGUGCCAGAGCCUGUUCUGUGCACACGCAGAUUAUGUGGAGCAGCCUAUGUGGAUAGAUUGCUAUUACAGUCUUCCCACAAGUUUUGUCCUUGAGCUUAUCUUACUCAUUAGAAUUAAUGAAACAAACAGGACACGUAACUGGGCUGUUGGCCUUCUUCAACAUAUUACCAUUUGAGUUGCCUGUUAAUUUAUAGCACAAUAGAGGUUUGCCACAAUGCCAGCUAGGUAGAAUAACCACAGUGUUGGGAAACCACUAUGCUUUUUUAUUGGUUUAUGCCCUUUUAUGUUGUAAAUGGCUAGUUUCCCUUUAAAUAAAUACUGCUUUUGAAAAGUU
This is a long non-coding RNA of Protobothrops mucrosquamatus (brown spotted pit viper), 2169 nucleotides long. RefSeq lists it as uncharacterized. The record is from RefSeq and is a predicted model, not a curated record. The transcript has 2 exons. NCBI's taxonomy places the organism in Eukaryota, Metazoa, Chordata, Lepidosauria, Squamata, Viperidae.